Molecule: ribosomal RNA, 434 nt
Rfam family: Bacterial small subunit ribosomal RNA
ACGGGAGGCAGCAGUGGGGGAUAUUGCACAAUGGGGGAAACCCUGAUGCAGCGACGCCGCGUGAGUGAAGAAGUAUUUCGGUAUGUAAAGCUCUAUCAGCAGGAAAGAUAAUGACGGUACCUGACUAAGAAGCACCGGCUAAAUACGUGCCAGCAGCCGCGGUAAUACGUAUGGUACAAGCGUUAUCCGGAUUUACUGGGUGUAAAGGGCGCGUAGGCGGGGAUGCAAGUCAGAUGUGAAAUCUAUGGGCUCAACUCAUAAACUGCAUUUGAAACUGUAUCUCUUGAGUGCUGGAGAGGUAGACGGAAUUCCUUGUGUAGCGGUGAAAUGCGUAGAUAUAAGGAAGAACACCGGUGGCGAAAGCGGUCUACUGGACAGUAACUGACGCUGAGGCGCGAGAGCGUGGGGAGCAAACAGGAUUAGAUACCCUGGUA